GUUUGAUUCUGGCUCAGAUUGAACGCUGGCGGGAUGCUUUACAUGCAAGUCGAACGGCAGCACGGACUUCGGUCUGGUGGCGAGUGGCGAACAGGUGAGUAAUGUAUCGGAACGUGCCUGUAGCGGGGGAUGCUGCGAAAGCGUAGCUAAUACCACAUACGCCCUUCGGGGAAAGCGGGGACCUUCGGGCCUCGCACUAUUAGAGCGGCCGAUAUCGGAUUAGCUAGUUGGUGGGGGGUAACGGCUCACCAAAGGCGGUGAUCGUAGCUGGUUUGAAGGACGACCAGCCACACUGGGACUGAAGUUACGGCCCAGACUCCUACGGGAGGCAGCAGUAGAAAUUUUGGACAAUGAGGAAACCUGGUCAGCCAUCCGCGUGUGCGAUGAAGGCCUUCGGGUUGUAAGCACUUUUGGCAGAAGAAACGGCACGGGAUAAUACCCCCGUGCAACUGACGGUGCGGAAUAAACACGGCUAACUACAAAUUGCCAGCAGCCGCUUGUUAAUACGUAGAGGUGCAAGCGUUAAUCGGAAUUACUGAGGCGUAAAGCAUUAGCAGGCGGUUCGGAAAGAUGUUGAAAUCCCAGAGCUUAACUUUUGGAACUGCAUUUUUUGCUACCGAGCUAGAGUGUGUCAGAGGGAGGUGGAAUUCCGCGUGUAGCGGUGAAAUGCGUGAUAGCACGGAGGAACACCGAUGGCGAAGGCAGCCUCCUGGGAUGUUGCUGACCGCUCAUGCAGCGUGGGGAGCAAGCAGGAUUAGAUACCCUGGUAGUCCACGCCUAAACGAUGUCCUUCGCUAUUUGGGGCCUUCGAGCCUUGGUAGCCGCAACUAACGCGUGAAGUUGACCGCCUGGGGAAUGCACGGUCGCGAAUUAAAACUCAAAGGAAUUGACGGGGACCCGCACAAGCGGUGGAUGAUGUGGAUUAAUUCGAUGCAACGCGAAAAACCUUACCUACCCUUGACCAUGUCUGGAAUCGAAGAGAUUUGGAGUGCUCGCGAAGAACCGGAACACAGGUGCUGCAUGGCCUGUCGUCAGCUCGUGUCGUGAGAUGUUGGGUUAAGUCCCGCAACGAGCGCAACCCUUGUCAUUAGUUGCUACGAAAGGGCACUCUAAUGAGACUGCCGGUGACAAACCGGAGAGAGUCAGGGAUGACGUCAAGUCCUCAUGGCCCUUAUGGUGGGGCUUUACACGUCAUACAAUGGUCGGGACAGAGGGUCGCCAGCCUUACGAGGGAGCCAAUCCCAGAAACCCGAUCGUAGUCGGAUCGCCAGUCUACAACUCGACUGCGUGAAGUCGGAAUCGCUAGUAAUCGCGGAUCAGCAUGUCGCGGUGAAUACGUUCCGGAAUCUUGUACACACCGCCGUCACCAUGGGAGUGGGUUUACCAGAAGUAGUUAGCCUAACCGUAAGGAGGGCGGUGCCACGGCCGGAUUCUUGACCCGGGGUGAAGUCGUAGCUAAGGCAG
This 1464-nucleotide ribosomal RNA is filed under the name uncultured Bordetella sp. RNAcentral describes it as "partial 16S-23S ribosomal RNA intergenic spacer". It matches the Rfam family "Bacterial small subunit ribosomal RNA". Lineage: Bacteria; Pseudomonadati; Pseudomonadota; Betaproteobacteria; Burkholderiales; Alcaligenaceae. The record is from RNAcentral.